RNAcentral lists this long non-coding RNA (2273 nucleotides) under Sus scrofa (pig). RNAcentral describes it as "lncRNA (ENSSSCG00005013207.1)". Lineage: Eukaryota; Metazoa; Chordata; Mammalia; Artiodactyla; Suidae. The record is from RNAcentral.
UUUUUUUAACCGUCAACACUUAUUACUUUAAUCACUGUCCCCCCUCUUCAGGUGCUUUCAAACAUCAAACUCACCCUGAAGGAUAAUUCAGAACGGGACAGUAACUCAUAGAAUUGUCUGGUUUUGGGGUUUUUUUUGGGGGGGGUUCUUUUUUUAGGGUUGCACCUGUGGUAUAUGGAAGUUCCCAAGCUAGGGGUCGAAUAGGAGCUGCCACUGCCGGCCUAUAUACCACAGACACAGCAACGCAACAUCCGAGCCGUGGCUGUGACCUACGCCACAGCUCACGGCAAUGCCAGAUCCUUAACCACUAUGUGAGGCCAGCGAUCAAACCCAAACUAGUAUCCCAAACUAGUAUCAAACCCAAACUAGUAUCCAGCGAUCAAACCCAAACUAGUAUCCUCAUGGAUACUAGUUGGAUCUGCCACCAUUGAGCCACGGUGGGAACUCCAUAGAAUUGCAAAGCCUUCGUUAGAAGGUGCAAAUUACCCCAUGGAGAGCUCUAAAAAUGUUCUGAGCAAGAGCAGUGCUCUGGGGAUGUCUGAGCUCCUCCUCCGCCUCUGCUGGGGGCCACACUCACUGAGGGCUCUGGGGUCCAGGGCGAUUUAAGUCACGUCGCUUCAUAAACAUGCUGUGCCAACAGAGACCUGCAUUCCAGUUACUGAUCUCAAAUCUGAAGCUGGAAGGAUCAAAAGGGCCAGAGCAGAGCAGGGCUCAGCAAGGCUGCCAGAACCUCAGGACCAUAGAUCCCCAGAGACCAUGGGCCCUGAAACCUCAACUCCUAAGUAGCUGAUCCAGGCAGCUCUCAAAAGACCUCCUCAAACAAUGAAGGAUGGAGAUGAUGACAUCAGGGCACAAACAAAGGGAAACGCCUACAGAGCAAGAACCUGAACAAGUUGAGGAGGCAAAAAUAGCGGUGGUGGGAAAGGAUGGAGGGGCCCAAUGGUGGAAGACCAGGAGGUGAGCUGGUACAAAGAAGCAGAGCGUGGAGUUUUGCUAAAGGAUCCACAGCAUGCUUCCGUGGACUUCCUGCUUUGCCAAAACCUAACUGAGCGAGCACAUGCCACAAAUUCCCAGCUCCCGAACAACUGUCUCCUUGUUUCUACUUCACCCAGAUUGAGAAUGUUAUUUAGGACUGAAACUAAUACAGAAGCAGGGAAUACCUUUAUGGGGAGAGAAGAUCAAAAGAGAUAAGGAAUAUUAAAACAGGCCCCUAGUAAGAGUGUUCCUGGGAGUUCUCUGGUGGCUUAGUGGAUUAAGGAUCUGGCAUUGUCACUGCUGAGGCUCAAGUUUGAUCCCCUGACUUGGGAAACUCUGUAUGCUGAAGAUGGGUGUGUGUGUGGGGAGGGGAAGGAAUACUCCUGGAUGGAGUGCUGGCUGCAGGCAGGGACCUCUAGAGUCUCAAUCCCUGUCUGUAGCCUGUGGACACAGUCAGUGUCUGAUGUGUAAAGGUGCCUAAAGAAGCUUCUACCAGCAGAGGUGGCCUGACUCAUUAUAGUCCAACAGAACCCUCUGGAGGGAUGGAAACCUCCAUCUGAGCUGACCCACAGGGCAGCCACGAGCCGCAUGUGGUGCUUGAGGUGGAACUGCAUUGCUAAUUUUGGUGAAUUUGAGUUAAAAUGUGAAUAGCCAUAUGUGGCUAGUGGCUACUGUACUGGACAACUAAGGAACCUUCCCACAGUGGCCUGGCCCCAUCUGCCCACUGCCUCAGGGAUGUUUCCAUCCCAGGCCCCAGCUCACAGAAGGAGAGACCACACUGGGAGCCCCAGCACGGGCGGGAGAGGGGCAGGGCCUGUGGGUGGAGCCAGUAUAGCAGGACCACCCUCGGUGGGGAGGAAAUGAGGACUGUGGGGUCCAUGAUCACAGAGGAUCCAUGCUAUGCACGCCACCAGCACCCCAGGAACAGGGCUCCUGGCUGUGAUAAAAAUUCACAUUCUACAUGAGACACAGAGCUGCACAUCCCUUUACCCUGAGGGGCCAUGGGGACAGGGGCCAUGAAGUUUCGGCAGCGCCAGAGCACACUAAUGGACAAUACGCAGCAGGGGCUCCCAAGUUCAUGGCAUUCUAGGUCCUUUGUGCAACCUGGAGGGGAGGAGCAGGUGGUGCCCAGGGAAUAACUAAGUCUGAGCUUCCCUCCAGCCUUGUAUAAGGGAGUUUAUAUGAUUUAUAAUAUGUAAACUUUUUUUUUUUUUUUGGUCUCUUUUUUCUUUUUUUUUAGAGCCACACCCGCAGCAUGUGGAGGUUCCUAGGCUAGGGGUCUGAUCAGAACUGUAGUG